RNAcentral lists this ribosomal RNA (372 nucleotides) under uncultured organism. Its description in RNAcentral is "bacterial SSU rRNA". It matches the Rfam family "Bacterial small subunit ribosomal RNA", at positions 526 to 896 of the family's 1533-position model. The record is from RNAcentral.
CGUAGGGGGCUAGCGUUGUCCGGAUUUAUUGGGCGUAAAGAGCGUGUAGGCGGCCAUGUAGGUCCGGUGUGAAAACUCGAGGCUUAACCUCGAGAUGUCAUCGGAAACCAUUUGGCUAGAGUCCGGAAGAGGAGAGUGGAGUUCCUGGUGUAGCGGUGAAAUGCGCAGAUAUCAGGAAGAACACCAAUGGCGAAAGCAGCUCUCUGGGACGGUACUGACGCUGAGACGCGAAAGCGUGGGGAGCGAACAGGAUUAGAUACCCUGGUAGUCCACGCCGUAAACGAUGGGCGCUAGGUGUGGGCGGUGUCGACUCCGUCCGUGCCGAAGCUAACGCAUUAAGCGCCCCGCCUGGGGAGUACGGCCGCAAGGCUA